ACCCGAGGCCUGCAUUUGAAACUGAUCUUCCUGAGUAUCGGAGAGGAAAGCGGAACUCCAGGUGUAGCGGUGAAAUGCGUAGAUAUCUGGAGGAACACCUGUGGCGAAGGCGGCUUUCUGGCCGAAUACUGACGCUCAUGCACGAAGGCUAGGGGAGCAAACAGGAUUAGAUACCCUGGUAGUCCUAGCGGUAAACGAUGGGCACUAGGUGUCGGGGGUAUCGACCCCCUCGGUGCCGCAGCUAACGCAUUAAGUGCCCCGCCUGGGGAGUACGGCCGCAAGGCUGAAACUCAAAGGAAUUGACGGGGGCCCGCACAAGCAGUGGAGUAUGUGGUUUAAUUCGAUGCAACGCGAAGAACCUUACCUGGGCUUGACAUGCUGGUGAAAGCCGGUGGAAACAUCGGCCCCUCUUCGG
Molecule: ribosomal RNA, 415 nt
Filed under: uncultured bacterium
Lineage: Bacteria
Description: bacterial SSU rRNA
Rfam family: Bacterial small subunit ribosomal RNA
Source: RNAcentral